Small nuclear RNA from Macaca mulatta (Rhesus monkey), 100 nucleotides. The record is from Ensembl. Lineage: Eukaryota; Metazoa; Chordata; Mammalia; Primates; Cercopithecidae.
UUGCUCACUUCAGCAGCAAAUAUACUAAAAUUGGAAUGAUACAGAGAAGAUUAGCAUGGCCCCUGUGCAAGGAUGACACACAAAUUCAUGACGCAUUUUU